RNAcentral lists this microRNA precursor (192 nucleotides) under Lotus japonicus. RNAcentral describes it as "miR11097g stem-loop (lja-MIR11097g)". The record is from miRBase by way of RNAcentral. Lineage: Eukaryota; Viridiplantae; Streptophyta; Magnoliopsida; Fabales; Fabaceae.
UGAGUUUAAUGGAUAUGCACUGACAGUGUAAAAUAGUUUUACACAGACAUCCAAUUGAAUUCCGUCAAAUCAGAAAAUAUAUUAUUCUUUUAAUUAAAAUUAAAGUCAAAUGUAAUUAUCUCUCCUAUGUGGCAUGCUUUGAUUGGAUGACUGUGUAAAACUAUUUUACAUUAGUGCAUAUCCAUUAAACUC